CCUACGGGUGGCAGCAGUGAGGAAUAUUGGUCAAUGGGAGAGAUCCUGAACCAGCCAUGCCGCGUGCAGGAAGACGGCUCUAUGAGUUGUAAACUGCUUUUGUACGAGGGUAAACGCAGAUACGUGGAUCUGUCUGAAAGUAUCGUACGAAUAAGGAUCGGCUAACUCCGUGCCAGCAGCCGCGGUAAUACGGAGGAUUCAAGCGUUAUCCGGAUUUAAUGGGUUUAAAGGGUGCGUAGGCGGGCGGAUAAGUUAGAGGUGAAAUCCCGAGGCUCAACUUCGGAAUUGCCUUUGAUACUGUUCGGCUAGAGAGUAGUUGCGGUAGGCGGAAUGUAUGGUGUAGCGGUGAAAUGCUUAGAGAUCAGACAGAACACCGAUUGCGAAGGCGGCUUACCAAGCUACUUCUGACGUUGAGGCACGAAAGCGUGGGGAGCAAACAGGAUUAGAUACCCUUGUAGUC
Molecule: ribosomal RNA, 460 nt
Filed under: uncultured bacterium
Lineage: Bacteria
Description: partial 16S ribosomal RNA
Rfam family: Bacterial small subunit ribosomal RNA
Source: RNAcentral